This 481-nucleotide ribosomal RNA is filed under the name uncultured bacterium. Its description in RNAcentral is "partial 16S ribosomal RNA". It matches the Rfam family "Bacterial small subunit ribosomal RNA", at positions 30 to 507 of the family's 1533-position model. The record is from RNAcentral.
AUUGAACGCUGGCGGCAUGCCUUACACAUGCAAGUCGAACGGUAACGGGCCUUCGGGUGCCGACGAGUGGCGAACGGGUGAGUAAUACAUCGGAACGUGCCCGAUCGUGGGGGAUAACGAGGCGAAAGCUUUGCUAAUACCGCAUACGAUCUACGGAUGAAAGCAGGGGACCGCAAGGCCUUGCGCGGACGGAGCGGCCGAUGGCAGAUUAGGUAGUUGGUGGGAUAAAAGCUUACCAAGCCGACGAUCUGUAGCUGGUCUGAGAGGAUGAUCAGCCACACUGGGACUGAGACAGGCCCAGACUCCUACGGGAGGCAGCAGUGGGGAAUUUUGGACAAUGGGCGCAAGCCUGAUCCAGCCAUGCCGCGUGCAGGAUGAAGGCCUUCGGGUUGUAAACUGCUUUUGUACGGAACGAAAAGCCUUCUUUUAAUACAGGAGGGUCAUGACGGUACCGUAAGAAUAAGCACCGGCUAACUACGUG